This 321-nucleotide long non-coding RNA is filed under the name Erythranthe guttata (spotted monkey flower). RNAcentral's name for it is "long non-coding RNA (EGUT_LNC001530)". The record is from RNAcentral. Lineage: Eukaryota; Viridiplantae; Streptophyta; Magnoliopsida; Lamiales; Phrymaceae.
CUACCCUUGGCACAGAUGGUACUUGUAUUUCUACGAGAGAAUCUUGGGCAGUUUGAUCGACGACCCCACCUUCGGUCUUCCUUUCUGGAACUGGGACAAUCCCCCCGGAAUGGUCAUGCCCGACAUGUUCGCGGUAACCACUUCUCCGCUUUACGAUGCCCGCCGCAACCUGGAGCACCUGCCGCCGGCGGCGGCGGACCUCAACUUCGCCUCAAAGCCCACCACCGACCCCUCCAAGAUAGUUACCAACAAUUUGACCACAAUGUACGGCGAGAUGGUCCGGAACGUCUCCAAGCUGGAGGACUUCUACGGAGCCAAAUA